This 373-nucleotide ribosomal RNA is filed under the name uncultured bacterium. Its description in RNAcentral is "bacterial SSU rRNA". It matches the Rfam family "Bacterial small subunit ribosomal RNA", at positions 30 to 402 of the family's 1533-position model. The record is from RNAcentral.
AUUGAACGCUGGCGGCAUGCCUUACACAUGCAAGUCGAACGGCAGCACGGGAGCUUGCUCCUGGUGGCGAGUGGCGAACGGGUGAGUAAUAUAUCGGAACGUACCCUAGAGUGGGGAUAACGCAGCGAAAGUUGCGCUAAUACCGCAUACGAUCUACGGAUGAAAGUGGGGGAUCGCAAGACCUCAUGCUCAUGGAGCGGCCGAUAUCUGAUUAGCUAGUUGGUGAGGUAAAGGCUCACCAAGCCGACGAUCUGUAGCUGGUCUGAGAGGACGACCAGCCACACUGGGACUGAGACACGGCCCAGACUCCUACGGGAGGCAGCAGUGGGGAAUUUUGGACAAUGGGCGCAAGCCUGAUCCAGCAAUGCCGCGU